CCUGCCCCUAGAGGUGUUUCAGGUGUGGUUUCUGUGUCUUUUGUGCAUUUGUAGAUGGGAAGAGGAGAGAGGCUAUGUCUACACUCAAUGUUCUGACUUAUGAACAUUUGAAUGAUUAAUAAUCCACAUU
Psammomys obesus (fat sand rat) is the source of this 130-nucleotide small nucleolar RNA. RefSeq annotates it as small nucleolar RNA SNORA17. Lineage: Eukaryota; Metazoa; Chordata; Mammalia; Rodentia; Muridae. The record is from RefSeq and is a predicted model, not a curated record. The transcript has a single exon.